This 468-nucleotide ribosomal RNA is filed under the name uncultured bacterium. RNAcentral describes it as "partial 16S ribosomal RNA". It matches the Rfam family "Bacterial small subunit ribosomal RNA", at positions 28 to 507 of the family's 1533-position model. The record is from RNAcentral.
GACGAACGCUGGCGGCGUGCUUAACACAUGCAAGUCGAACGGAAAGGCCCUUCUUUUGUGGGGUGCUCGAGUGGCGAACGGGUGAGUAACACGUGAGUAACCUGCCCUUGACUUUGGGAUAACUUCAGGAAACUUGGUCUAAUACCGGAUAUGAGCUCCUGCUGCAUGGUGGUGGUUGGAAAGUUUCGGCGGUUGGGGAUGGACUCGCGGCUUAUCAGCUUGUUGGUGGGGUAGUGGCUUACCAAGGCUUUGACGGGUAGCCGGCCUGAGAGGGUGACCGGCCACAUGGGGACUGAGAGACGGACCAGAGUCCAACGGGAGGCAGCAGUGGGGAAUAUUGCACAAUGGGCGGAAGCCUGAGGCAGAAACGCCGCGUGCGGGAUGAGGGCCUGCGGGUUGUAAACAGCUUUCGCCUGUGACGAAGCGGGAGUGACGGUAAUGGGUAAAGAAGCACCGGCUAACUACGUG